Molecule: ribosomal RNA, 426 nt
Filed under: Triticum aestivum (bread wheat)
Lineage: Eukaryota; Viridiplantae; Streptophyta; Magnoliopsida; Poales; Poaceae
Description: partial small subunit ribosomal RNA
Source: RNAcentral
AUGGAGCUUCUACAUGUGGUGCAUACUCUGGUGGCAAAUCAAACUUCAAUAAUGGCCAAGAGUGAGAGAAUGGAAGAACAGUACAAUGAGCUAAAGAGAUUGAUCAUAGCUUCUAGGGGGUCUGUUGAAAUGGGAAGAAUUCCAGAAAAGGAGCUUCCAAAUAAAGAUCCUUCUAAGGACUUGGAAACCAUGAAUGACAAAGAACAAGCAACUUCACUUUCAUAUACUACCAAGGCAUCUGAGGCAAUGGCUGCUCCAAGGCAUCCAGAUAAGGUGAAGGCAUCCCAACUGGAAUCAAAGAAAACAGAAUCAGCACUACCAAGUCUUGCGCCUGUGCCAAAACCAAAGAAGACAAAGACAACUAAACAUAAGAAACCAGAAAUAUUUCAAACACCGCUCCAAAAGGGGCCAAAGAUUAAGACUUAG